RNAcentral lists this ribosomal RNA (468 nucleotides) under uncultured bacterium. Its description in RNAcentral is "partial 16S ribosomal RNA". It matches the Rfam family "Bacterial small subunit ribosomal RNA", at positions 28 to 507 of the family's 1533-position model. The record is from RNAcentral.
GACGAACGCUGGCGGCGUGCUUAACACAUGCAAGUCGAACGGAAAGGCCCUGCUUUUGUGGGGUGCUCGAGUGGCGAACGGGUGAGUAACACGUGAGUAACCUGCCCUUGACUUUGGGAUAACUUCAGGAAACUGGGGCUAAUACCGGAUAGGAGCUCCUGCUGCAUGGUGGGGGUUGGAAAGUUUCGGCGGUUGGGGAUGGACUCGCGGCUUAUCAGCUUGUUGGUGGGGUAGUGGCUUACCAAGGCUUUGACGGGUAGCCGGCCUGAGAGGGUGACCGGCCACAUUGGGACUGAGAUACGGCCCAGACGCCUACGGGAGGCAGCAGUGGAGAAUAUUGCACAAUGGGCGGAAGCCAGAGGCAGCAACGCCGCGUGCGGGAUGACGGCCUUCGGGUUGUAAACCGCUUUCGCCUGUGACGAAGCGUGAGUGACGGUAAUGGGUAAAGAAGCACCGGCUAACUACGUG